GAUGAACGCUGGCGGCGUGCCUAAUACAUGCAAGUCGAGCGAACAGACGAGGAGCUUGCUCCUCUGACGUUAGCGGCGGACGGGUGAGUAACACGUGGAUAACCUACCUAUAAGACUGGGAUAACUUCGGGAAACCGGAGCUAAUACCGGAUAAUAUAUUGAACCGCAUGGUUCAAUAGUGAAAGACGGUUUUGCUGUCACUUAUAGAUGGAUCCGCGCCGCAUUAGCUAGUUGGUAAGGUAACGGCUUACCAAGGCAACGAUGCGUAGCCGACCUGAGAGGGUGAUCGGCCACACUGGAACUGAGACACGGUCCAGACUCCUACGGGAGGCAGCAGUGGGGAAUCUUCCGCAAUGGGCGAAAGCCUGACGGAGCAACGCCGCGUGAGUGAUGAAGGUCUUCGGAUCGUAAAACUCUGUUAUUAGGGAAGAACAAAUGUGUAAGUAGCUAUGCACGUCUUGACGGUACCUAAUCAGAAAGCCACGGCUAACUACGUG
Molecule: ribosomal RNA, 497 nt
Filed under: uncultured bacterium
Lineage: Bacteria
Description: partial 16S ribosomal RNA
Rfam family: Bacterial small subunit ribosomal RNA
Source: RNAcentral